Molecule: long non-coding RNA, 208 nt
Filed under: Mytilus galloprovincialis (Mediterranean mussel)
Lineage: Eukaryota; Metazoa; Mollusca; Bivalvia; Mytilida; Mytilidae
Source: RNAcentral
UUAAUCUAUUUAUAUCUGUGUUUAUGUUUACAUCGCUUAUAUGGUCAUAGAAGGUCAACUCGAUAGUUAAUUAGAUGGCGUCUUGGCUAAAUUUUACACGAAACGAAGCAACAUCUUAUUGAGACCAUGUCCUGUAAAUUGUUUAUUUGAUAUUUUUGAUAGUUUGGAAAAAUGUUUUACAUUGUUAUAAAUAAAAUAUGAGAAUUUG